GACUAUGACGAUGACGACGACAGUGACAACUAUGAUGAGGAUGAUAUAUGAAUAUAUAUUUACUUAAAUACCCUUGAGGUAUGGCUAAAUGUCAAAACCAUCCACAAACAUGAGAAACUGGAGGCAAUAGUCCUUUCGUUUGCAGAAUGUUCGAUAGAGCAACAGGCUGAUGUGGAACCGUUCGUUUUAAUUCGACAAAAAUAUAAAAUAAAUUAGGAUUACGACGCGGUUAAAAGAUUACAAAUACGUCAAUCUUUUAUUAAAAGAUCAUAAGGACCCACAAUAUAUAAAGGACUGCGAUACAAUUAUUUUUUACGGUGAGUGGUCUAAUGGUUAUAAUUCCAACUUUUUAUGGUUAAAUUUGUAAUUUUAUGGAUAACUUCGUCAGCUCAUUUGAUGUCUAAGAUGAGCUUGGACAUGUUUUCGUUCCUAUUAAGAGUGAUGCGCCAUUUUCUUUAAUAGUUUAUAAUAUUAAUUAUUGGCGAUGGUGUGGUUUCUUUCUUUCUUUUAUCUUUUUUUUUUUCAAUUUAGUAUUGACGUGUUGAGUUUCGAUUGUGUGACUUGUUGGGAAAAUAUGCUCUUUAAAAGUAUAUGUGUUUAUUUAAUUGUAAUAAAUAAAUUUUUUGAUUAAUAAAAUAUAUGAGGUAUUUUAUUCAAAUAUCUUAAUUGCAUUAAUAUUUGUAUUAAAGUCCAUUUAAUCAUAUUAUAUGUAUUUAUGUGAUCACCAUGUGGAUUCACAGAAAACAUAAAUACAAGUUAUCUUAUGAUUAAAUAAAUUCAGUUCGCAGUUGAUAAAUAAAGUUGAGCACUUUAUUUAGGUAUAGACUGUAAUAAAUUCAUUGAAUGAUUUGUCUUAAUCAUGUAUGAAUUUAUCAAUGUAGUACGACUACAUUGAACAGGAUCACAUAUAAGAUUUAAUUAACUUUGUAAUAACUGUCAGACUUAUUAAAUCUCAUAGGUAUUGAUUUUACUGUAAUCUUAAUCUUGAGUUAAUUAUGAUUUCAUUAUUGUAAUUGUUAUUCCAUUUGAGUUACCAAUGGGCACGACACAUCCUUGUGGUCAAGAUUACCCGGUAUCUUGGUGGGAGCAAUUAUGAGUAUUGGAGUUAUGGAUUAACAAUAAAGAAUUUGUACAACACAUCUCUUGAUGGGUUUUCGGCACUUAAUCAUAGAAUUCUCUGGCCAGAGUGUGUCAACAUAUUUAGUAUGUUGAAAAUGAUCAUUAGAGAAAACUAGUAAGGAUCAAAGAAUAAGGUGUUAUUAAAUUGAUUGGACAGUUGAGAGGAUUGUGCAGUAAAGAAAUCAAUGUGGCUUGGGACGAAUUAUUAUUCGAGCAUACAAUUAUGGAAGUCAGUUCCAAUCUUUUAGUGGAGUAGAUUUGGAAUUAAAUAAUUAGGCUAGUUUAAUUACAGGCCUAAUUAUUAUAGCCACUGUUGUAUGUUCCCAAAUGAUCACCGGGUUAGCUCAUUUAAUUGACUGCACCACUACUGGACUAAUAAGCAAGAUAACUAGUUAUUUGGGUCAAAAGCCUAAAUAUAUCAUUUAGUGGGAGGCUCCAUUUAAUUAACUUAUGUGUAAGGGGCCUUAUGUUAUUUUACAUGGUGGGUCCCCUAUUAAAUGAAAAGUAACGUGAGUUUUAUUUUUGUCAUUAUUUGGAGCCUAGGGUUUUCACUAAAGGGAGAUAUAUAAGGCUUAUUUUCUCAAAAGAAAAAGAGUGAAACCACUUUAUACAGAUCAGAGAAUAAGAUUUUUCUCUCUAUUGUUGAGAGAAAAAUUUUCUCGUGCUAGUUGCUUUGGUAGUGAUAAAGGCGCCCACACGUCAAGUGCAGAUCGAACUUGAGUCAUAACCUAGAAGAUCAUUGGUGACAGUUCGUGAUCUAACAAGCGUGGUGGUGACGGAUCGUGAUCUAACAGGAGUGGUGGUGGCGGCGGAUCGUGAUCUAGGAGCCUAAAUCACUUCAGCGGAAAAAAGCCAACUCGGAUUUUCAAGGUACGAUUUCUAGAAUACAAAUUCUUAUAUAGUAUAUGAGAGUGGUCUUAAAAGGUUUUAUAAAAAUUUAAAAAACCUGAUUUUUCCCCAACAUGACUAAACUAAACACAUUAAAACUUAAAUCUACUAUAUUAAGGUCUCGUUUGAGAUUGAUGUUGAAACUACAUAAACUACUUAUUUUAUAAUUUGUAACAAAAAUAAUGUUUGAUAAACUUUAUAAAAACUGCUUAUUUCAUUAUUUUUUUCCAUUUUGAUAGAAACUUUUACAGGUAGAGGGUUUCAUUUCAUAAGUAGCUUAUUAAAUAAGCUAUCAUACAUUUUUAAAGUUCCUAUUAUAAUCUUAAUAUUUUUUUAAAAAAUAAUUGUCUUAUUUUUCUAUACACAAUAAUAUUAAGUCAUUAGAUAUCAUAUUACCACCACAAUCAAAUUACCGCCACAACUACUGCAUAUUCUCUCUAGUAUCAAAGUUCUGAUCUAAUAAGUUCAUAUUUUUUAUAUUUCACUUGUAUUUUCGAUUAUAACAUUAAAAAAGGUUU
This 2525-nucleotide long non-coding RNA is filed under the name Citrus x clementina. RNAcentral describes it as "Citrus clementina (C. clementina) long non-coding RNA (CCLE_LNC004164)". The record is from RNAcentral. Lineage: Eukaryota; Viridiplantae; Streptophyta; Magnoliopsida; Sapindales; Rutaceae.